This 253-nucleotide ribosomal RNA is filed under the name uncultured bacterium. Its description in RNAcentral is "partial 16S ribosomal RNA". It matches the Rfam family "Bacterial small subunit ribosomal RNA", at positions 524 to 776 of the family's 1533-position model. The record is from RNAcentral.
UACGUAGGGUGCGAGCGUUAAUCGGAAUUACUGGGCGUAAAGCGUGCGCAGGCGGCUAUGCAAGACAGGUGUGAAAUCCCCGGGCUCAACCUGGGAACUGCACUUGUGACUGCAUGGCUAGAGUGCGUCAGAGGGAGGUGGAAUUCCGCGUGUAGCAGUGAAAUGCGUAGAGAUGCGGAGGAACACCGAUGGCGAAGGCAGCCUCCUGGGAUGACACUGACGCUCAUGCACGAAAGCGUGGGGAGCAAACAGG